UACGUAGGGGGCAAGCGUUGUCCGGAUUUAUUGGGCGUAAAGAGCGUGUAGGCGGCUUGGUAGGUCGGUUGUGAAAACUGGAGGCUUAACCUUCAGACGUCGACCGAAACCACCUUGCUAGAGUCCGGAAGAGGAGAAUGGAAUUCCUGGUGUAGCGGUGAAAUGCGCAGAUAUCAGGAAGAACACCCGUGGCGAAAGCGGUUCUCUGGGACGGUACUGACGCUGAGACGCGAAAGCGUGGGGAGCGAACAGG
Molecule: ribosomal RNA, 253 nt
Filed under: uncultured bacterium
Lineage: Bacteria
Description: partial 16S ribosomal RNA
Rfam family: Bacterial small subunit ribosomal RNA
Source: RNAcentral